GAGCGAUGGCAGAGAGGUCGAACGCGGCGGUCUUGAAAACCGUUAUACCUUCGGGUAUCGGGGGUUCAAAUCCCUCUCGCUCC
Molecule: transfer RNA, 83 nt
Filed under: uncultured Treponema sp.
Lineage: Bacteria; Pseudomonadati; Spirochaetota; Spirochaetia; Treponematales; Treponemataceae
Rfam family: tRNA
About the family: Transfer RNA (tRNA) molecules are approximately 80 nucleotides in length.
Source: RNAcentral